UCACACGCAUGUUCGGCCUUCCACUAGUAGAGAACAACCUUCACUUUAUUUCUUCUUCCAUCCCUCACGCUCACCCAUUUCCCCUUCACCUUUCUUCUUCCUAUUUCCCCUCCCCUCAACGUCUCCACCAUCUUCAUCUUUCCACGCCAGCAACAACUUCACAAACCUCACACCACUAGCAACACCGUCCACUUCUCCUCAGCCCCACACAUCCCCUCACGCCAGCAGCUC
RNAcentral lists this long non-coding RNA (231 nucleotides) under Eucalyptus grandis. RNAcentral's name for it is "long non-coding RNA (EGRA_LNC001524)". The record is from RNAcentral. Lineage: Eukaryota; Viridiplantae; Streptophyta; Magnoliopsida; Myrtales; Myrtaceae.